This 431-nucleotide ribosomal RNA is filed under the name Prosthecomicrobium sp. 'ARUP UnID 533'. Its description in RNAcentral is "bacterial SSU rRNA". It matches the Rfam family "Bacterial small subunit ribosomal RNA", at positions 27 to 506 of the family's 1533-position model. The record is from RNAcentral. Lineage: Bacteria; Pseudomonadati; Pseudomonadota; Alphaproteobacteria; Hyphomicrobiales; Kaistiaceae.
GAACGAACGCUGGCGGCAGGCUUAACACAUGCAAGUCGAACGCCCCGCAAGGGGAGUGGCAGACGGGUGAGUAACGCGUGGGAAUCUACCCAGUUCUACGGAACAACAGAGGGAAACUUCUGCUAAUACCGUAUACGCCCUACGGGGGAAAGAUUUAUCGGAAUUGGAUGAGCCCGCGUAAGAUUAGCUAGUUGGUGGGGUAAUGGCCUACCAAGGCGACGAUCUUUAGCUGGUCUGAGAGGAUGAUCAGCCACACUGGGACUGAGACACGGCCCAGACUCCUACGGGAGGCAGCAGUGGGGAAUAUUGGACAAUGGGCGCAAGCCUGAUCCAGCCAUGCCGCGUGAGUGAUGAAGGCCUUAGGGUUGUAAAGCUCUUUCAGUAGGGAAGAUAAUGACGGUACCUACAGAAGAAGCCCCGGCUAACUUCGU